Long non-coding RNA from Phymastichus coffea, 668 nucleotides. RefSeq lists it as uncharacterized. The record is from RefSeq and is a predicted model, not a curated record. The transcript has 3 exons. NCBI's taxonomy places the organism in Eukaryota, Metazoa, Arthropoda, Insecta, Hymenoptera, Eulophidae.
CGCAUCUUCAUAACGGAUGGGAGGUGGAUCAGGCGAUUUUAUCCGAAGAAGAUCGUGUUAUUGUUAUUCGUUUUGGACACGAUUGGGAUCCAAUGUGCAUGAAGACUGACGAAGUAUUGUACAACAUAGCUGAAAGAAAACAAGCAUAUUAUGAUUGAUUUGGGUACGGGUAACAACAAUAAGAUCAAUUGGGUUAUUGAAGACAAACAGGAGAUGAUUGACAUUGUUGAAAUUGUGUAUCGCGGGGCUAGAAAAGGCAGAGGUUUAGUUAUUUCUCCCAAAGAUUAUUCUACGAAAUAUCGAACUUAGAUAAUUUUUUUUUGGCGUAAAUAAUCAAGCUGAUGAUUGAGGUGAUGAAUAAUAUAGGAUCAACUCGAGAUAAAAAAGUGAUAAGAUAUCGCCCCUAGGAGUGAAAAAUAAUCUAAUCAUGUACUUGCAACUCAAUUAUCUGUAAAGAAGUAUACAAAUUCUAUUUGAUCUGUUAUGUAAAUUGAAAUGUUGUUGAAUGGAUUAAGUUAUCUCUUAGUUUGCUUUACUAAAGAUUGUGAAUUAUGUUGUUAUAUACUAGACAAUGUCGUAUUGACAUUGUACGAAAACAAUUGUAAAAUGAAAUAAAAAUCCGUUUGUUUUUAAAUUAUUUUUAAUUAUUUUUGAGAAAAUAGCCACAG